Molecule: transfer RNA, 72 nt
Filed under: Camelus bactrianus (Bactrian camel)
Lineage: Eukaryota; Metazoa; Chordata; Mammalia; Artiodactyla; Camelidae
Also listed under: 2 other names
Rfam family: tRNA
About the family: Transfer RNA (tRNA) molecules are approximately 80 nucleotides in length. Their secondary structure includes four short double-helical elements and three loops (D, anti-codon, and T loops).
Source: Rfam by way of RNAcentral
GAGGGUAUAGCUCAGAGGUAGAGCGUGUGCUUAGCAUGAGCAAGGUCCUGGUUUCAAUCCCCAGUACCUCCA